Molecule: small nuclear RNA, 100 nt
Organism: Otolemur garnettii (small-eared galago)
Lineage: Eukaryota; Metazoa; Chordata; Mammalia; Primates; Galagidae
Source: Ensembl
GUGCUAGCUUCAGGAAUACUAAAUUGGAACGACACAGAGAAGACCAGCAUGGCCCCUGCGCAAGCAUGACAUGCAAAUUCGUGUAGCAAUCCAUAUUCUU